RNAcentral lists this long non-coding RNA (395 nucleotides) under Ananas comosus (pineapple). RNAcentral describes it as "long non-coding RNA (ACOM_LNC011323)". The record is from RNAcentral. Lineage: Eukaryota; Viridiplantae; Streptophyta; Magnoliopsida; Poales; Bromeliaceae.
AUGAUAGCAUAUUACCGCUUUAUUUACUUUUUAAAAAAUAAACUAAGUUAAAAAUAUAAAAUAAUUAGACUUCAAACUUAAAAUCUCCGAUACCAACCAUCAAACGCUUUUCAAAAGAUAAUGGAAUAUUCAAUAGAAGCAAUAGUGACCACUUAAAUAUAAUUCUACAUAGAUAAGAAUAGCCAUGCACUCAAAUGCCAUAGUCGGGACACUAAUAUUUAUUUUUCUGAGAGAUAGAUAGCAUGCUAUCCGUUUUGUUUAUUUCAUUUAGAAAUGAACUUAACUAUAAAUGUGAAUCAACUAAAAUUCGAACUUGAGACCCCGGAUAUCAACCACCAAGUCAUUUGCUCCUUGCGCUAGGAACGGUUGAUAAUAUUGUUCUACAAAGAGAAAAG